GGGUGCUUAAGACUUUCUGUCUUGAGCAUUGUUGAGGGACAGAAAGUAGGAAGCCCCCGGGAAAUUUUCAUUUACCCGAGGCUACUCCCUCAACUACCAACAGGUUGAGAGUAGCCUCUUAUUCUUUUUUACACAAGGAAGUAAAAGGCAUG
This 152-nucleotide antisense RNA is filed under the name Enterobacter hormaechei. Its description in RNAcentral is "sok". It matches the Rfam family "sok antitoxin (CssrC)". Rfam says of the family: Also identified in Shigella as CssrC. The record is from RNAcentral. Lineage: Bacteria; Pseudomonadati; Pseudomonadota; Gammaproteobacteria; Enterobacterales; Enterobacteriaceae.